GAUGAACGCUGGCGGCGUGCUUAACACAUGCAAGUCGAACGGGAAACCUUUUAUUGAAGCUUCGGCAGAUUUAGCUGGUUUCUAGUGGCGGACGGGUGAGUAACGCGUGGGUAACCUGCCCUAUACAGGGGGAUAACAACCAGAAAUGGUUGCUAAUACCGCAUAAGCGCACAGGGCCACAUGGUCCGGUGUGAAAAACUCCGGUGGUAUAGGAUGGACCCGCGUUGGAUUAGCCAGUUGGCAGGGUAACGGCCUACCAAAGCGACGAUCCAUAGCCGGCCUGAGAGGGUGAACGGCCACAUUGGGACUGAGACACGGCCCAGACUCCUACGGGAGGCAGCAGUGGGGAAUAUUGCACAAUGGGGGAAACCCUGAUGCAGCGACGCCGCGUGAAGGAAGAAGUAUCUCGGUAUGUAAACUUCUAUCAGCAGGGAAGAUAGUGACGGUACCUGACUAAGAAGCCCCGGCUAACUACGUG
This 478-nucleotide ribosomal RNA is filed under the name uncultured bacterium. RNAcentral's name for it is "partial 16S ribosomal RNA". It matches the Rfam family "Bacterial small subunit ribosomal RNA", at positions 28 to 507 of the family's 1533-position model. The record is from RNAcentral.